This 253-nucleotide ribosomal RNA is filed under the name uncultured prokaryote. RNAcentral describes it as "partial 16S ribosomal RNA". It matches the Rfam family "Bacterial small subunit ribosomal RNA", at positions 524 to 776 of the family's 1533-position model. The record is from RNAcentral.
UACGAAGGGGGCUAGCGUUGUUCGGAUUUACUGGGCGUAAAGCGCGUGUAGGCGGGCCGUUAAGUUGGAGGUGAAAUCCCGAGGCUCAACCUCGGAACUGCCUUCAAAACUGGCGGCCUGGAGGAGAAGAGAGGCAAGUGGAAUUGCGAGUGUAGAGGUGAAAUUCGUAGAUAUUCGCAGGAACACCAGUGGCGAAGGCGACUUGCUGGCUUCUUUCUGACGCUGAGACGCGAAAGCGUGGGGAGCAAACAGG